GUAUGGUGCAAGCGUUAUCCGGAUUUACUGGGUGUAAAGGGUGAGUAGGCGGUCAUGCAAGUCAUAUGUGAAAUGUCAGGGCUUAACCUUGGCGCUGCAUAAGAAACUGUAUGACUAGAGUGCAGGAGAGGUAAGCGGAAUUCCUAGUGUAGCGGUGAAAUGCGUAGAUAUUAGGAAGAACACCGGUGGCGAAGGCGGCUUACUGGACUGUUACUGACGCUGAGUCACGAAAGCGUGGGGAGCAAACAGGAUUAGAUACCCUGGUAGUCCACGCCGUAAACGAUGAGUGCUAGGUGUUGGCCAGAGAUGGUCGGUGCCGCAGCAAACGCAAUAAGCACUCCACCUGGGGAGUACGACCGCAAGGUUG
This 367-nucleotide ribosomal RNA is filed under the name uncultured bacterium. RNAcentral's name for it is "bacterial SSU rRNA". It matches the Rfam family "Bacterial small subunit ribosomal RNA", at positions 527 to 896 of the family's 1533-position model. The record is from RNAcentral.